Molecule: ribosomal RNA, 468 nt
Filed under: uncultured bacterium
Lineage: Bacteria
Description: partial 16S ribosomal RNA
Rfam family: Bacterial small subunit ribosomal RNA
Source: RNAcentral
GACGAACGCUGGCGGCGUGCUUAACACAUGCAAGUCGAACGGAAAGGCCCUGCUUUUGUGGGUUGCUCGAGUGGCGAACGGGUGAGUAACACGUGAGUAACCUGCCCUUGACUUUGGGAUAACUUCAGGAAACUGGGGCUAAUACCGGAUAGGAGCUCCUGCUGCAUGGUGGGGGUUGGAAAGUUUCGGCGGUUGGGGAUGGACUCGCGGCUUAUCAGCUUGUUGGUGUGGUAGUGGCUUACCAAGGCUUUGACGGGUAGCCGGCCUGAGAGGGUGACCGGCGACAUGGGGACUGAGAUAGGGACCAGACUCCUACGGGAGGCAGCAGUGGGGAAUAUUGCACAAUGGGCGGAAGCCUGAUGCAGCAACGCCGCGUGCGGGAUGACGGCCUUCGGGUGGUAAACCGCUGUCGCCUGUGACGAAGCGUGAGUGACGGUAAUGGGUAAAGAAGCACCGGCUAACUACGUG